Molecule: long non-coding RNA, 1436 nt
Organism: Oncorhynchus tshawytscha (Chinook salmon)
Lineage: Eukaryota; Metazoa; Chordata; Actinopteri; Salmoniformes; Salmonidae
Source: Ensembl
AUGAGCUUGAUGCUAUUUUCCAAUAAAUAUCAAGGGUCUUAUUCUGGUGACAUGUUAAAAUAUUCUCGCUCUUACCAUAAUAAUCUCAUCCCGUAAACUAGCCUGACCGCACUGUAUCCGCGAUCUUAACGCAACAGUUUCAGUUGUUGUUGUAACAAAACAAAUCAGUAGAGAAAAUAAGACGGAAACACAUUGAACUGUAGACUUUAUUUAUUCAGUACAUGAAAACUUAAGCUAAAAAGUACAUCGUGUGCACUACGUCAUCACGCACUAAUUCAUUUUAUUUUUUUAUCCACAAGUCAAUUUGGCGGAAACCCGCCCUGGUGGGGAAAAUGGGUAUAUUUCUUUCAUGCGGAUUUUUAGAAUAUUCGCAUUGAAAAAAUCUGUCGCCAUAGUUUAUGACGUCUAUGAUUGUACUCAAGCAGAGUGGAACAUGUCUGUCUCUUAUGUACAACUGGCUCUAUCUACCACGGAAUUAACUUUUCACCGUUUUUUCCUCUUCUUUAAGCCCAGAUCUAAAAUUGAAAAAUAGAAAUAGAAAAUUACUGAAAUGUUUUUUUUUUAAAUGGACAAUUAUAUAAAUUAUGGACCAAAAGUAAUAAAUGAUGCUGUUCUAAUGAAAUAGAAUGGAGAGGGAACGGGCAUUAGUGAAAGACAAGAAAAUGAAGAAGAAGAAGAAACUAGGAUAAGACAGACAGUAGCAGGUGUUACAGGUUCUAGGUUGGUUAGCAUGUUAGCUUUAGCACACUGAUUGGAGUCACCUCGUUAGUCAGGAUGAGUUUCACCUGUGCUGGAACCAGCUGGUCGUUAGGACCCGCUGGCCCAGUGCAUCAGCUAGAGAGGAUAUGUUGGUAAAGCUACACCCUCACAUUAGCGCUUCCACUUUAGUUAGCCAAAAAUAGUUUUGUUUUUUCCCCUUGUUUGUUUGGCUCCAUAUUCAUUUUACUCCCUAUCCUAAAUUGGAGUGGGUUGCUUUCCUUUAGUUUUACCUCUGAGGUAAAUGUUGUGCGUAUUCAUUGUGUGUGUCUCUUAUAAACCUCUUAUUAGUUGCUUGCCAACUUUUGGUGGGUGUCUUUCAGAACCCCUUUUGAAAUCUAUUUCUGUUUUAGAUGUGAAAGUGACUUUCUGUGAAUGUGCAACAUUUUGUGUGUGGUCCUUUUGGGAAUAUAACCCAGGUGAUAACCCCUAUCCCUCACCCUGAGAGUGUGGUCCUUUUGGGAAUAUAACCCAGGUGAUAACCCCUAUCCCUCACCCUGAGAGUGUGGUCCUUUUGGGAAUAUAACCCAGGUGAUAACCCCUAUCCCUCACCCUGAGAGUGUGGUCCUUUUGGGAAUAUAACCCAGGUGAUAACCCCUAUCCCUCACCCUGAGAGUGUGGUCCUUUUGGGAAGGUAACCCAGGUGAUAACCCCUAUCCCUCACCCUGAGAGUGUGGUCC